Molecule: ribosomal RNA, 406 nt
Filed under: uncultured bacterium
Lineage: Bacteria
Description: partial 16S ribosomal RNA
Rfam family: Bacterial small subunit ribosomal RNA
Source: RNAcentral
AUUGAACGCUGGCGGCAGGCCUAACACAUGCAAGUCGAACGAGUGGCGGACGGGUGAGUAAUGUCUGGGAAACUGCCUGAUGGAGGGGGAUAACUACUGGAAACGGUAGCUAAUACCGCAUACCAUCGGAUGUGCCCAGAUGGGAUUAGCUAGUAGGUGGGGUAAAGGCUCACCUAGGCGACGAUCCCUACCUGGUCGGAGAGGAGGACAAGGCAAACUGGAACUGAGACAGGGGCCAGACUCCUACGGGAGGCAGCAGUGGGGAAGAUGGAACAAGGGGCGCAAGGCUGAUGCAGCCAAGCCGCGUGUAGGAAAGAGGCCUGCGGGUUGUAAAGCACUUUAAGUUGGGAGGCGUUACCAACAGAAUAAGCACCGGCUAACUUCGUGCCAGCAGCCGCGGUAAUUC